Molecule: long non-coding RNA, 1104 nt
Filed under: Zonotrichia albicollis (white-throated sparrow)
Lineage: Eukaryota; Metazoa; Chordata; Aves; Passeriformes; Passerellidae
Description: lncRNA (ENSZALG00000009362.1)
Source: RNAcentral
GGGCGCGGGGCCGCCGUGCACCGUCUCCAUGGCGAGAGGCGCGUCCCGCCGCGCGCACGCGCAAUGGAGGGGAGAGGCGGCUGCAGGCGGCGAGAGCCCAUGGGGGGCGCUCUGAGCAGCCAUGUGGGUCCCAGAGGCCAUGAGGAGAGGCCACCGCUCUGGGUCCAGGGUGAGGAGCCCCUGCCUGAGGAGAGGCUCCCGUACAGCGGGGAGACGCUUGCAACCACCACCAAGAGGCUCCGGGAGAUGUCAGAGAUAGCCGAGCCGCCCUGGGAGAUGUCAGAGAUAGCCGAGCCGCCCCAGGAGAUAGCAGACACAGAUGAGCUGCCCACUGUGCCCCUAUCAGCCGUGCCCAGCAAGGUGCCAUCCCGAGAGAUUAGGAGGAAUCCCUCUGAGAUCAAGCUGCCUCCCUGGCUUGGAAAGUGGGGGACUGGCUCCGAGGAGAAGUCCUCCGCCACACUGCCGGCGCUGCCGCCCACCCCAUCCACGCCAGCAGAGAAGCCCAGCCAGGCGGUGCCCCAGCGGAGCUGUGUGACCCAUGACUGGCAGAAGGAGGUAGUCGUGGAUCCCCUGGACUCUCGGCCAAGGAAGGAUUUGGGCAGUGAGGACUUACAGCGUGGCUACGAUGGACUGCCAAUCCACCAAUUUCUCUCCUCAGUCACUGACAGCGCCCCCCCGAAGGACUGCCCAACCCUCAGGGCUGUGCUGCUGGGGCAAGGGCAGCGGAAGGCCGCAUUGGCAUCCAUGCUCUUCAAGAAAUACAGCAAGGAGACGGAGGAGGAGAUUCGGCCCCGCCCAAAGCGCAUGGAAUCUAUCUCCACCACGCAUGAUGACUACUGUGCCAUGGGCUUCCAGUCCACACCCCAGCCCAUCACCCAGCGUCACGAUUACUUAACGGAGCAGCCAAGCAGCUUCUGGAUGGAGCAAGCCCGUGGACGGCCGGUAAGGCUCCCACCACCCUGUCCUGCCAGUACCCUGGGACUCUCAGCUGCUGAAAGAGAUCUCUCCAAUUCUCUCCUCUCCAGGGUGUCACUGCCCUCUUCGGCACAAACAUUCCCUUCAAGAGGAAUGCAGACUUCUCCACUCCCAUUACCAUGUACUUAG